RNAcentral lists this ribosomal RNA (408 nucleotides) under uncultured microorganism. RNAcentral's name for it is "bacterial SSU rRNA". It matches the Rfam family "Archaeal small subunit ribosomal RNA", at positions 330 to 745 of the family's 1478-position model. The record is from RNAcentral.
GUGCAGCAGGCGCGAAUACUUUACAAUGUGCGAAAGCACGAUAAGGGAACUCUGAGUGCCUCCUAAGGAGGCUGUUCUGAUGUCUAAAAGCAACAGAAGUAAGGGCUGGGUAAGACCGGUGCCAGCCGCCGCGGUAACACCGGCAGCCCAAGUGGUAGCCACGUUUAUUGGGUCUAAAGCGUUCGUAGCCGGCCAGGUAAGUUCCUUGGUAAAUUUAGCCGCUUAACGGUUAAGCUUUCAGGGAAUACUGCUUGGCUUGGGACUGGGAGAGGUCAGAGGUACUCCGGGGGUAGGGUGAAAUCUAUUAAUCCCUGGGGGACCACCGGUAGCGAAGGCGUCUGACCAGACCAGGUCCGACGGUGAGGGACGAAGGCUAGGGGCGCGAACCGGAUUAGAUACCCCUGUAGU